Molecule: ribosomal RNA, 420 nt
Filed under: uncultured bacterium
Lineage: Bacteria
Description: bacterial SSU rRNA
Rfam family: Bacterial small subunit ribosomal RNA
Source: RNAcentral
UUUUGCGCAAUGGGCGAAAGCCUGACGCAGCAACGCCGCGUGUGUGAUGAAGGUCUUUGGAUUGUAAAGCACUUUCGACCGGGACGAAAACCCCUGGGCUAAUACUCCAGGGCUUGACGGUACCGGGAGAAGAAGCACCGGCUAACUCUGUGCCAGCAGCCGCGGUAAUACAGAGGGUGCAAGCGUUGUUCGGAAUUAUUGGGCGUAAAGCGCGUGUAGGCGGCCUGACAAGUCGGAUGUGAAAGCCCUCGGCUCAACCGAGGAAGUGCGUUCGAAACUGUCGGGCUUGAGUACCGGAGAGGGUGGCGGAAUUCCCCAAGUAGAGGUGAAAUUCGUAGAUAUGGGGAGGAACACCGGUGGCGAAGGCGGCCACCUGGACGGUCACUGACGCUGAGACGCGAAAGCGUGGGUAGCAAACAG